RNAcentral lists this ribosomal RNA (403 nucleotides) under uncultured bacterium. RNAcentral describes it as "partial 16S ribosomal RNA". It matches the Rfam family "Bacterial small subunit ribosomal RNA", at positions 28 to 526 of the family's 1533-position model. The record is from RNAcentral.
GACGAACGCUGGCGGCGUGCCUAAUACAUGCAAGUCGAACGCAGUGGGGACGGGUGAGUAACACGUGGGUAACCUCCCAUCAGAGGGGAUAACACUGGGAAACAGGUGCUAAACCGAGACUGAUGGAUGGUCCCGCGGGUCAUUAGCUAGUUGGGGAGGUAACGGCUCACCAAGGCCACGAUGCAUAGCUGACCUGAGAGGGUGAUCGGCCACACUGGGACGGAGACACGGCCCAGACUCCUACGGGAGGCAGCAGUAGGGAAUCUUCGGCAAUGGACGAAAGUCUGACCGAGCCACGCCGCGUGAGUGAAGAAGGUUUUCGGAUCGUAAAGCUCUGUUGUUCGAGAAGCGGUAUCUAAACAGAAAGCCACGGCUAACUACGUGCCAGCAGCCGCGGUAAUAC